RNAcentral lists this long non-coding RNA (1968 nucleotides) under Phaseolus vulgaris (common bean). RNAcentral's name for it is "long non-coding RNA (PVUL_LNC002451)". The record is from RNAcentral. Lineage: Eukaryota; Viridiplantae; Streptophyta; Magnoliopsida; Fabales; Fabaceae.
GCCGAGAGAUUCUUUUGCUUCGAUUUCCCAAAUGUCAGUACUAUGCUUCUGCUAUGAUCAGAUUUUUCUCUCUUUUUAAAUUAUUUUGUAUACCAACCACUUUUUCUUUUCUUUUUUUUUGGUGAGUGUUUGGUUUGGUUCAUCAUGAUUGAGAAAGUGCAGAGAGAAGUUACAACUUACACCACCCAGCAACUUUCAAAAAAAAAUUGGCAUCGUGUUGCAACUCACAACGUUCUGGUCCCUUCAAAGGAGACAAGCAAGUAUGAAACUUUCCUAUCUGAAAUUUUCUCAUCUUUUCAUGAAUACUAGAUUAAGGACUUCAACUACUUCCUCCUUUUUCUUUUUCCAAUUUUCAUUCUAAUAUCCAUGAAGCAUUGUAAACUACUGGUACCCAAAUUAAUAAUUAUAUGUAUUUGAUUAUAUAAAAAUAUUAUGGUGACUGUGGACUGAUAAAAACGCAGGAUGCAGGAUGGAGCUGCUGAGGAAGGAAGAAGGGUUGUGACAUCUCGAAUUUCGUGAGGACUGGGAACUUGGGAAGAAAUCACUUGAAGAGGGGUAAAUUUUUAUUGAAUUUGGUAUAUUAUAAAUAAUUUAUUUUCUUUUUAUUUUAUCUUAAAAUCUUUUGGAGUACAGCAAAAGCAAAAGAGGAAAAAGUGAAAAAGUUAAAAUCUCUGCUACUUUCUCUCACCAAGCAAGCCCUUUAAAUAAAACCUGACAGAAUAUGCCCAAUUAUUUGCAAUACUGUUAGUCAUGCUAUAAGCCACUAUUAAACAAAAAAAAACAAAUAAUAUGUUUUAAAACAUACAAAAUUGUUUAAUAUUUUCUAUUUAACAAAUCAGAAAAAGAUAUUAAGAUUUUUUUUUUAAUUCUGAUGAUAAAGUGAACACAGUGGACUAGUGAAAAAUUUGAUCUGGGUCCAUACGACUCGAGUUGGUUUUGCUUUAUAAUUUUUCCAUUACCAAAAAAAUGAGAAAUAUAUUUGUACACUAAGAUUAUCUAUUUCUAUAUAAAAAAAAAAUAUACAAUAAGUCAAAGAAAGAAAAUAUAAGUUAUAAGAUAACUCAGAUGAGAUGGUGAAAAGAGAUAAAGGCUAGUGGUAAUUUUUCAAAAGUUAUAUCUUUCUAUGUGGAGUUUUCUUUUCACCAAACCAAAUGAUGAAAAAGGAAAAAUAAAUUCAAAGAGUAAUGUGUUGAGGAUUUGACUAACGAGAGUUACUAUAGUGCAGUAUAAGGAUAAGUCUGUACUAUUAUUUAAUUAUAUAUUAUUUCGUACGUCAUAAUUCAUAUUGAAAAUUUAAAUGAUUAAUAAUAGUACAUAAAUAUUGAUUCCAAUAAUUGAUGCAAAGUAAACAGGAAGAGUUUUUGCGUGUGAAUAUUAUAAGAGAAAAAUUGUGUUAAAAUAAGGCAUUCUGAUAAGUUGUUUCUUUAUUUCACACACACUCUUGUGAAGUAAACAUAAAUAAUUCACAAUCAUUGCAGUGGGCCUCCAGUAAUCCAUUGCCAUGGCCAACUGCAGUAUAUAAUAUUUCAAGAAAAUAGGCAUUUAUUUAUCUCAUUACUAAUAUUGCAAAACUCAUUUAUAAAGUGAGUGGGGCCAUCACAAACCUCUCCUGUCAGAACAAAAAAAUAGGGGUCCUUUUCCCUCUGCCUUCAAAAACUUUAAAAAAUAAUAAAAACAGUAUUGAAAAAUAAAAAAAUGAAAGCAUAUUUUGAAAGCUUGCAAUAAUAAAUAGACAUAAAAUGAAAAAUAGGGUGAUGAAAGCAACCACACACCUAACCUCUAACAUAACAAUGUGUUUUAAUUUUUAGUUUAAUGUUUGUUUGUUUGGUUGUAGCCCAUUUGAUGGAGAGAGGUUACUUAGGAAGUGCAAAUUUCAUUUUUUUACGGAGCUUUGCCCAAACCACACGAAAACCACAUCCCCAUCAUUCUUUUCAACCUUUCAUUCACUUCCUCGUCACUGUAUUUCCC